Molecule: ribosomal RNA, 611 nt
Filed under: uncultured bacterium
Lineage: Bacteria
Description: bacterial SSU rRNA
Rfam family: Bacterial small subunit ribosomal RNA
Source: RNAcentral
CCUACGGGAGGCAGCAGUAAGGAAUAUUGGUCAAUGGACGAAAGUCUGAACCAGCCAUGCCGCGUGAAGGAUGAAGGCCCUCUGGGUUGUAAACUUCUUUUAUCUGGGACGAAAAAAGGGUAUUCUUACUCACUUGACGGUACCAGAGGAAUAAGCACCGGCUAACUCCGUGCCAGCAGCCGCGGUAAUACGGAGGGUGCAAGCGUUAUCCGGAUUCACUGGGUUUAAAGGGAGCGUAGGUGGGCUGAUAAGUCAGUGGUGAAAUCUCCGGGCUUAACCCGGAAACUGCCAUUGAUACUAUUAGUCUUGAAUUAUCUGGAGGUAAGCGGAAUAUGUCAUGUAGCGGUGAAAUGCUUAGAUAUGACAUAGAACACCAAUUGCGAAGGCAGCUUGCUACGGAUUGAUUGACACUGAGGCUCGAAAGCGUGGGGAUCAAACAGGAUUAGAUACCCUGGUAGUCCACGCCCUAAACGAUGGAUACUCGACAUCAGCGAUACACUGUUGGUGUCUGAGCGAAAGCAUUAAGUAUCCCACCUGGGAAGUACGACCGCAAGGUUGAAACGUCAAAGAUAGUAGCGUGAGAGAGCGACGACGGACGACGAGGGAGGAGG